CCCUGGCUCAGGACGAACGCAGGCGGCGUGCCUAAUACAUGCAAGUCGAGCGAACCAACAGGAGCUUGCUCCUGUUGGUUAGCGGCGGACGGGUGAGUAACACGUGGGCAACCUGCCUGUAAGACUGGGAUAACACCGGGAAACCGGUGCUAAUACCGGAUAAUCCUUUUCCUCUCAUGAGGAAAAGCUGAAAGUCGGUUUCGGCUGACACUUACAGAUGGGCCCGCGGCGCAUUAGCUAGUUGGUGAGGUAACGGCUCACCAAGGCGACGAUGCGUAGCCGACCUGAGAGGGUGAUCGGCCACACUGGGACUGAGACACGGCCCAGACUCCUACGGGAGGCAGCAGUAGGGAAUCUUCCACAAUGGACGAAAGUCUGAUGGAGCAACGCCGCGUGAGCGAUGAAGGCCUUCGGGUCGUAAAGCUCUGUUGUUAGGGAAGAACAAGUACCGGAGUAACUGCCGGUACCUUGACGGUACCUAACCAGAAAGCCACGGCAACUA
RNAcentral lists this ribosomal RNA (502 nucleotides) under Bacillaceae bacterium CL3.87. RNAcentral's name for it is "bacterial SSU rRNA". It matches the Rfam family "Bacterial small subunit ribosomal RNA", at positions 17 to 502 of the family's 1533-position model. The record is from RNAcentral. Lineage: Bacteria; Bacillati; Bacillota; Bacilli; Caryophanales; Bacillaceae.